RNAcentral lists this ribosomal RNA (356 nucleotides) under uncultured bacterium. Its description in RNAcentral is "bacterial SSU rRNA". It matches the Rfam family "Bacterial small subunit ribosomal RNA", at positions 8 to 350 of the family's 1533-position model. The record is from RNAcentral.
AGAGUUUGAUCAUGGCUCAGGAUGAACGCUAGCUACAGGCUUAACACAUGCAAGUCGAGGGGAAACGACACUCGAAAGCUUGCUUUUGAUGGGCGUCGACCGGCGCACGGGUGAGUAACGCGUAUCCAACCUGCCCACCACUUGGGGAUAACCUUGCGAAAGUAAGACUAAUACCCAAUGACGUCUCUAGAAGACAUCUGAAGGAGAUUAAAGAUUUAUCGGUGAUGGAUGGGGAUGCGUCUGAUUAGCUUGUUGGCGGGGUAACGGCCCACCAAGGCGACGAUCAGUAGGGGUUCUGGAGAGGAACGGUCCCCCANAUUGGAACUGAGACACGGUCCAAACUCCUAACGGGAGCA